AAUUUUCGGCAAUGGGGGGAACCCUGACCGAGCAAUGCCGCGUGAACUAUGAAGGUCUUCGGAUCGUAAGGUUCUGUUAUCAGGAAAGAAUAGCAUAACUAGGAAAUGAGUUAUGUGCGACGGUACCUGAUGAGAAAGCCCCGGCUAACUAUGUGCCAGCAGCCGCGGUAAUACGUAGGGGGCAAGCGUUGUCCGGAAUUAUUGGGCGUAAAGGGUGCGUAGGCGGCUUUUUAAGUCAGAUGUGAAAGCCCACGGCUCAACCGUGGGAUUGCAUUUGAAACUGGAGGGCUUGAGUAUCGGAGAGGGUAGUGGAAUUCCCAGUGUAGCGGUGAAAUGCGUAGAUAUUGGGAGGAACACCAGUGGCGAAGGCGACUACCUGGACGAUUACUGACGCUGAUGCACGAAAGCUAGGGGAGCAAACA
This 422-nucleotide ribosomal RNA is filed under the name uncultured bacterium. RNAcentral describes it as "partial 16S ribosomal RNA". It matches the Rfam family "Bacterial small subunit ribosomal RNA", at positions 360 to 774 of the family's 1533-position model. The record is from RNAcentral.